UAGGGAAUCUUCCGCAAUGGACGCAAGUCUGACGGAGCAACGCCGCGUGAGUGAAGAAGGUUUUCGGAUCGUAAAACUCUGUUGUUAGAGAAGAACAAGUGCUAGAGUAACUGUUAGCGCCUUGACGGUAUCUAACCAGAAAGCCACGGCUAACUACGUGCCAGCAGCCGCGGUAAUACGUAGGUGGCAAGCGUUGUCCGGAUUUAUUGGGCGUAAAGCGAGCGCAGGCGGUUCCUUAAGUCUGAUGUGAAAGCCCCCGGCUCAACCGGGGAGGGUCAUUGGAAACUGGGGAACUUGAGUGCAGAAGAGGAGAGUGGAACUCCAUGUGUAGCGGUGAAAUGCGUAGAUAUAUGGAGGAACACCAGUGGCGAAGGCGACUCUCUGGUCUGUAACUGACGCUGAGGCUCGAAAGCGUGGGUAGCAAACAGGAUUAGAUACCCUGGUAGUCCACGCCGUAAACGAUGAGUGCUAAGUGUUGGAGGGUUUCCGCCCUUCAGUGCUGUAGUUAACGCAUUAAGCACUCCGCCUGGGGAGUACGACCGCAAGGUUG
Molecule: ribosomal RNA, 550 nt
Filed under: uncultured bacterium
Lineage: Bacteria
Description: bacterial SSU rRNA
Rfam family: Bacterial small subunit ribosomal RNA
Source: RNAcentral